AACGCACGAGACCUGCGGACCUGCGGAAGGAUCAUCGAAGAAUUAUUAUUUCCAAUUAUAAAAAAGGGGAGAGGAAAAAGGGGGGGAGGAACUCUCUCUAUAAGAGGCCUUCUCACUCUCUUUCUUUCUCCUUUUUUAUAAACAAACAAACAAUCGCAACUAUAACUAUAAAAAGGAUAAUUUGGUUUGGUUUGAAUGAAUGAAUGAAUGGUUUGAAUGAAUUUUUGUUUGUGAAGGAAA
This 240-nucleotide unclassified non-coding RNA is filed under the name soil metagenome. RNAcentral describes it as "partial contains 5.8S ribosomal RNA, internal transcribed spacer 2, and large subunit ribosomal RNA". The record is from RNAcentral.